RNAcentral lists this ribosomal RNA (399 nucleotides) under uncultured bacterium. Its description in RNAcentral is "partial 16S ribosomal RNA". It matches the Rfam family "Bacterial small subunit ribosomal RNA", at positions 338 to 734 of the family's 1533-position model. The record is from RNAcentral.
CCUACGGGUGACAGCAGUGAGGAAUAUUGGUCAAUGGACGAGAGUCUGAACCAGCCAAGUAGCGUGAAGGAUGACGGCCCUAUGGGUUGUAAACUUCUUUUAUAUGGGAAUAAAAUGUUCCACGUGUGGGAUUUUGUAUGUACCAUAUGAAUAAGAACAGGCUAACUCCGUGCCAGCAGCCGCGGUAAUACGGUGGGUCCGGGCGUUAUCCGGAUUUAUUGGGUUUAGAGGGAGCGUAGGUGGAUUGUUAAGUCAGUUGUGAAAGUUUGUGGCUCAACCGUAGAAUUGCAGUUGAAACUGGCCGUCUUGAGUGCAGUAGAGGUGGGCGGAAUUCGUGGUGUAGCGGUGAAAUGCUUAGAUAUCACGAAGAACUCCGAUUGCGAAGGCAGCUCACUGGAC